UUUCACCCUGUGAUGCAGGAGAUGGAACUCAAGGCCUCCAGCAUUCCGGGCAAGUUCUCUACUACUGAGUCAAGCCCCCUUCACCCUCUACCUCCCACCCCAACCUGUAGUCGAUGCCAACCAAUCAAUGCAUAGCUGAGAGAGUGGGAACCCAGGAACCUGAGCCUUGGGGGAAGAGUUUCAAUGAAGACACCCUGGUUGAAUGCUUGUCUCUUACUGCCUGUGCACUGUCUGGCUGUGGGCUCAGUAUUAAUUCCCGUCUCCUACAAGAAGCUUCUCUGGCAUCUUUUGCUGGAAGAAAACGUAGAAGCCCUGAUGGAAACCAGAGGACGGAAUUUGUCACCGAGAGAAAGAUUUACAAGUUGUCUGAUGACCUUGCAGGAGAGACCUGGACCUGAGACUGUGGUGGCUGGGGGACCACACCUUGGCCAGACUACAUGACGGUGAAUGGCCGAACCUGGCCUGUUGUGGCACCGGCUGUGAUUAUAAGCGAGAUGCAAGAGAAAGAGCCGUGUGGUGAGGCUGGUAUGUGCACACACACAAAAUGCACGAAGGAAAACCUGCUUCCUCCUGCCAAAGGGCAAACAAAGGAGUGGCCUAGGAAGAGAGAAGACUUCAGACAAUUAACUACUCCUGCCAAGUACCACAGGAAACGUUGCUCGCUCUUUUAGCUCUGUCAGCAAAGGCUGAGUGAGAAACCCAAACUUCACCUUCACCAGGGCUAAAGUUUGCCC
This 734-nucleotide long non-coding RNA is filed under the name Mus musculus (house mouse). RNAcentral describes it as "RIKEN cDNA 9230116L04 gene". Lineage: Eukaryota; Metazoa; Chordata; Mammalia; Rodentia; Muridae. The record is from RNAcentral.